GAUAAAGGCUGUGGGGUUCUAGGAGGGAGGCAGCGGCCCUAACUGAGGGGCACCAAGACAGAGACCAUCUUGGGCACCACAAAGGCAGGAGGAUCCUGAGGCAGCGAGGGCAUUUGGGGCUGUUCAGCCCUCCUCAGAAGGCCAUCAUGAGGAGGGAAGGCCCUGAGGGCACAGGAGAAAACUGAUCACACAUCCAAUGCCAGGCAGUGGGCCCAGUUAUGUCUGACCCCCCAGAUGGGCCUCAGGGCAGGAAUUAUUAUGCCCAUUUUAUAGCUGGGGAAACAAGACAAAGAGGUGAAGUCACGCAGCUGGUCAGAAAGUGAAAGCAGAGCAGGACAAGGACAGCCCUGUGGCAGACUCGACUCGGCAGCACUUUCUUA
This 380-nucleotide long non-coding RNA is filed under the name Equus caballus (horse). RNAcentral describes it as "lncRNA (ENSECAG00000054154.1)". Lineage: Eukaryota; Metazoa; Chordata; Mammalia; Perissodactyla; Equidae. The record is from RNAcentral.